Osmerus eperlanus (European smelt) is the source of this 756-nucleotide long non-coding RNA. RefSeq lists it as uncharacterized. Lineage: Eukaryota; Metazoa; Chordata; Actinopteri; Osmeriformes; Osmeridae. The record is from RefSeq and is a predicted model, not a curated record. The transcript is spliced from 7 exons.
GGUUGUCCCACUGAAUGCAGCUAUUGGUUGCGCCUGAGUAGGCUCCACCUUAUUGGUGAAUUCAACCAGAUUGAAGAACUCGCAGCCGUGCAAGGCGUUCUUUGACUUCAAGUCAGCGACGUGAACGAUCAUACAGGUGAAAGUGAAUGUAUUUUCACCAGACUCGUGACGUUGGCGUACACGCACAAAGAUUAUGGUGAACCCCAGCGCCAAGCCACGCGAGGCACCAAGAAUGAAGCCGGCCUUUGAUCCGGACUGAAGUACUCCAUCGAAUAACAGAUGAACAUAUGAUGUGGUCAAUGGAGGCAUCCCCACAUGUGGAGGCUGUUCUCCGUCACAUCGAUGACCGUUGUUGGAAUCCGAAGUCGGCCAAAUUCUCUGAAGAACAAUUGAGCGAGUGAAAGGUCUCCCGAAACUAACAGAUUGGGCAACUAAGUUUUGGAGGACCUCGCAUCUGCUCUGGACUCUGGGUCAGGGUUGAGGAUGUUAAACUCAAUGAUUUUGAGUUUGUAAUUCCUACUAGAUAUUUUCCUGAUGAGAUUUUGCAUUGGGAAAUGCAAAAUUGGAUCAUCCUCUUUUAAAUGAACGGGGCAUUUGAAUGAUACAAGCUAAUUAUGCAACGUAUCCAUAGUGUUUUCUAUCCAUUUCGUUUGUUGCAAUGCACUUCAUUUAUAGAUAUAGAAAAAAAGGACACUUGAGAUGUAGCCUCUUUUUAUAUAAUUUACAUGAUUCAUAUUAAGCUGAUGUAUUCAAAUG